UGCAGAGAAGGGCUUAACUGAAGCUAUCAAGUGCUUGUUGGAAGCUGGUGCAUACCCAAAUGUUUUUGACACGUUUGGUAGAUUGCCAAUUGAGUUGGCUGCUGAGUAUGGUACACCGGUAGACAUUGAGAUUCUCUUUCCUUCCACCUCUCCUGUUUCAACUGUGGCAAAUUGGAGUGUUGAUGGAAUCAUUAGUCAUGUGAAGAUGGAAAUCAAGCAACUUGAGGAUGACAAUUUUGUGGAAAAGAGGAUGUAUGAGCUGAAAGGCCAAGCGGAUGAAACAUUUAAGAAGCAGGAUUAUCUAAAUGUAUCGGUGCUCUACACACAGGCACUGAAGAUGGAUAACUUGGAUGCCAAGUUGUUGUCAAACAGGAGCCUUUGCUGGCUUCGCAUGGGUCCCCCAGGAGUAUGACGCAGCUUAUUGCUCACUGUCGCGUGCUUUAGAGUUGGACCCAGAAAACGAGGAUAUUGAGAAAUUAUUUUGGCAAGAGAUCCAUCUUUCAUCUUGUUUUUUAUUUGUCAGCAGCUGCAAUUUAUAGGCGCUGCCGUAAUCGGAGGCGAUGGAACAGAAGUGAUCAUGCGGACUGCAGAGAGAAGCUGCUCACGCGUGCAGCUCCGUUUUUUCUACUCUCUUUUUUGUGUAAUAAAAUUCACUUAUGAUCAGCAAAACAUGUUAGUGUCAAUGUUAUGCGAUGCUGUUAGUUCUACCCGUUGUAGAAUAUUCUCAAGUCCAAAUGUUUGAGAGUAUAUGCUUUCUUUGACUAGCCCUGAACACUAGUACUUGAUUUAGCUGAUGAUGAAUGAAUCGGGUAACUAUAUAUGCUAGAGUGCAAUAUUUGACAGCGGAUCAAUAUGUUUUGCAUUUCAAGGAACA
Triticum urartu is the source of this 874-nucleotide non-coding RNA. Lineage: Eukaryota; Viridiplantae; Streptophyta; Magnoliopsida; Poales; Poaceae. The record is from RefSeq and is a predicted model, not a curated record.